This 1010-nucleotide long non-coding RNA is filed under the name Mytilus galloprovincialis (Mediterranean mussel). The record is from RNAcentral. Lineage: Eukaryota; Metazoa; Mollusca; Bivalvia; Mytilida; Mytilidae.
UCCUUUCUUUUUUUGAGGGAAUCAACGGUGGUCAUUUUGUUUUCAAUAAAGGCAAUUACCAUAAUAUAUCCUCACUUAACUUUAAUUUAUCCUUCCAACUAUUUUGAUUCAAGAGUCGUGAAUAUGUAUAGUGUAGACGAAACGCUCCUCUGCAAUCUCUUGCGCAGAGCUCACAUCCGUUCUGUUCUUAAUUCGUAUCGCUACACUGAAAUAUGAAGUGUACUGUACUGAGAGUAGAAAACGGAAACGAGCGGUUCACGGAGAGUGGCCCCUCUGGUGUUUCAAAUAUAAACCGGGUAUCUUUGGUGAAUUUUUUUUAUCAUAACAGAAUUCUAUUUCUUGAUUGCGCUUAUCAAUUAGUAACGACUAGCUUCGUCGUUGUAUAACGUUUUUAACAGAAAACAAGACCCUGUAAAUACGGUUUAUUUUUAUCUUCGACAAAAUUGAAUCACACAUAACACAUGUAUCUCUGUCAUAGGUCCUGCAUGACAAAUAAUUUAGGUAGUCGGUCCAUCUAACAUAUAACUGGUUUCUGUGUGUAACUUGUUCGUCACACAUGCAUCUCGAUAAAAAUUACAGCUCUGUAAAUUCCGUUUGAAUAUUUUCUUGAUAUAGUAAUUUUAGCUUAUAACAAGUAGAUUUAAUUAAAGCAACUGAUUUUAGUGUGAACGUCAGGAAGACUAAACAAGAAGUACGCGUGUGAUAAAACCUUUUGAAAAUUCCUUACAAAUAUAAAAAAGAAGAUGUGGUAUGAUUGCCAAUGAGACAGCUAUCCACAAAAGACCAAAAUAACACAGACAUUAACAACUAUAGGUCACCGUACUGCCUUCAACAAUGAGCAAAGCCCAUACCGCAUAGUGAGCUAUAAAAGGUCAAGAUAAGACAAUGUAAAACAAUUCAAACGAGAAAACUAACGGCCUUAUUUAUGUAAAAAACUGAACGAAAAACAAAUAUGUAACACAUAAACAAACGACAACCACUGAAUUACAGGCUCCUGACUUGGGACAGGC